Molecule: ribosomal RNA, 1264 nt
Filed under: Actebia praecox
Lineage: Eukaryota; Metazoa; Arthropoda; Insecta; Lepidoptera; Noctuidae
Description: 16S ribosomal RNA
Source: RNAcentral
UAAAGUAUUUUUAUAGAAAAAAUUAAAUAAUUUAUAGUGAAUUAGUAUUGUAGAAGAAUUUUGAAAUAAUUGAAAUAGAAAAUUAUUUUAAAGUAAUUUUAAUUUAAUGUAUCUUGGGUAUCAGAGUUUAUUAAAAAAAAUUUAUAGAAAAAGAAUUCUCGAAUUUAAAAGAGCUAAUUAAUUAUUAAAGUUAUUGUGGCAUAAAUAUUUUAAAUAAUUAAUUAGAGAUGAAAUGUUAAUCGUUUUUAAAUAUAUCUAGUUUUUUUAGAAAAAAAUUUAAUUUUAUAUUAAUUUUAUAAAAAAAUUAAUUAAUUAAUUUUUUUAUAAAAUUAAUAUUAUAUUUUAGGGGAUAAGCUUUAAUUUAAAUUUAUAUAAAUAAAAUUAAUAAACCUUUUAAUUGAAAUUUUUAUGAUUUAUAUUGUUAAAAAAAUUUAAUUUAUUAUAAAUAAUUUCAUUAAAAAAUAAAAUUUAAUAAAAUUUUAUAUAUUUAUAAAAAAAAAUUUUUUAAUAAAAUAAUAAUUGUUAUAAUGAUAAAAUUAGUAUAUAAAAUUAAUUAAAAUAUAAUUUUUUAUUAUAAUUAAUUAAAAGGAAUUCGGCAAAUUUUUAUAUUCACUUGUUUAUCAAAAACAUGUCUUUUUGAAAAUAAUAUAAAGUCUAAUCUGCCCACUGAUUUAUAUUGAAGGGCUGCAGUAUUUUGACUGUACAAAGGUAGCAUAAUCAUUAGUCAUUUAAUUGAUGACUUGUAUGAAAGAUUGGAUGAAAUAUAAGCUGUCUCUUAAUUAGAUGUAGAAUUUAAUUUUUUAAUUAAAAAGUUAAAAUAAGUUAAAAAGACGAGAAGACCCUAUAGAGUUUUAUAAAUAAGUUAAUUAAGAUUAUUUAUAUAAUUUUAUAGAAAAUUAAAAUUAAUUUAUUUAUUUUGUUGGGGUGACAGAAAAAUAAAUAAAACUUUUUUUAUAUGAAUUACAUAUAUAAAUGAUUAAAUGAUCCAUUAAUAAUGAUUAAAAGAAAAAAUUACCUUAGGGAUAACAGCGUAAUUUUUUUUUUUAGUUCGUAUAAGAAAAAGAGUUUGCGACCUCGAUGUUGGAUUAAGAUAAAAUUUAAAUGCAGAAGUUUAAAAUUUUUGAUCUGUUCGAUCAUUAAAAUCUUACAUGAUCUGAGUUCAAACCGGUGUAAGCCAGGUUGGUUUCUAUCUUUUAAAAAUUAAAAUAUUUUAGUACGAAAGGAUUGAAUAUUUAAAUUAAAUUUAUUUUAUUGAAUAUUAUUA